GAUGAACGCUGGCGGCGUGCCUAAUACAUGCAAGUCGAGCGAACAGACGAGGAGCUUGCUCCUCUGACGUUAGCGGCGGACGGGUGAGUAACACUUGGAUAACCUACCUAUAAGACUGGGAUAACUUCGGGAAACCGGAGCUAAUACCGGAUAAUAUAUUGAACCGCAUGGUUCAAUAGUGAAAGACGGUUUUGCUGUCACUUAUAGAUGGAUCCGCGCCGAAUUAGCUAGUUGGUAAGGUAACGGCUUACCAAGGCAACGAUGCGUAGCCGACCUGAGAGGGUGAUCGGCCACACUGGAACUGAGACACGGUCAAGACUCCUACGGGAGGCAGCAGUAGGGAAUCUUCCGCAAUGGGCGAAAGCUUGACGGAGAAAAGACGCGUGAGUAAUGAAGGUCUUCGGAUAGUAAAACUCUGUUAUUAGGGAAGAACAAAUGUGUAAGUAACUAUGCACGUCUUGACGGUACCUAAUCAGAAAGCCACGGCUAACUACGUG
RNAcentral lists this ribosomal RNA (497 nucleotides) under uncultured bacterium. RNAcentral describes it as "partial 16S ribosomal RNA". It matches the Rfam family "Bacterial small subunit ribosomal RNA", at positions 28 to 507 of the family's 1533-position model. The record is from RNAcentral.